This 440-nucleotide ribosomal RNA is filed under the name uncultured bacterium. RNAcentral describes it as "partial 16S ribosomal RNA". It matches the Rfam family "Bacterial small subunit ribosomal RNA", at positions 338 to 795 of the family's 1533-position model. The record is from RNAcentral.
CCUACGGGGGACAGCAGUGGGGAAUAUUGCACAAUGGGGGAAACACUGAUCCAGCGACGCCGCGUGAGGGAAGAAGUAUUUCGGUAUGUAAACUUCUAUCAGCCGGGGAGCAAAUGACGGUACCUGACUAAGAAGCCCCGGCUAACUACGUGCCAGCAGCCGCGGUAAUACGGAGGGGGCAGGCGUUAUCCGGAUUUACUGGGUGUAAAGGGAGCGUAGGCGGUUUAGCAAGUCAGAAGUGAAAGCCCGGGGCUCAACUCCGGGACUGCUUUUGAAACUGUUGAACUAGAUUGCAGGAGAGGUAAGCGGAAUUCCCAGUGUAGCGGUGAAAUGCAUAGAUAUCACGCAGAACCCCGAUUGCGAAGGCAGCAUGCCGGCUUCCGACUGACGCUGAAGCACGAAAGCGUGGGGAUCGAACAGGAUUAGAUACCCGGGUAGUC